GAAUAAGAAGCGAACUAUUGCAUUCAGUUUCGACCUGAAAAUCUGGUAUUUAAUUUACCCUUAUUCU
Molecule: transfer RNA, 67 nt
Filed under: Ramburiella turcomana
Lineage: Eukaryota; Metazoa; Arthropoda; Insecta; Orthoptera; Acrididae
Description: tRNA-Arg
Source: RNAcentral